GAGUUCGAUCCUGGCUCAGGAUGAACGCUGGCGGAUGCUUAACACAUGCAAGUCGAACGGGAAGUGGUGUUUCCAGGGGGGAACGGGUGAGUAACGCGUAAGAACCUGGCCUUGGGAGGGGAACAACAACUGGAAACGGUUGCUAAUACCCCGUAGGCUGAGGAGCAAAAGGAGAAAUCCGCCCAAGGAGGGGCUCGCGUCUGAUUAGCUAGUUGGUGAGGCAAUAGCUUACCAAGGCGAUGAUCAGUAGCUGGUCCGAGAGGAUGAUCAGCCACACUGGGACUGAGACACGGCCCAGACUCCUACGGGAGGCAGCAGUGGGGAAUUUUCCGCAAUGGGCGAAAGCCUGACGGAGCAAUGCCGCGUGGAGGUGGAAGGCCCACGGGUCGUCAACUUCUUUUCUCGGAGAAGAAACAAUGACGGUAUCUGAGGAAUAAGCAUCGGCUAACUCUGUGCCAGCAGCCGCGGUAAGACAGAGGAUGCAAGCGUUAUCCGGAAUGAUUGGGCGUAAAGCAUCUGUAGGUGGCUUUUCAAGUCCGCCGUCAAAUCCCAGGGCUCAACCCUGGACAGGCGGUGGAAACUACCAAGUAUGGAGCGGUCGUCGUGCGAGAUGAAAGUCUCAUGCACGGUUUUGCAUGAGAGAAAGAAGCGAGGAAUCCUCUUUUCGACUCUGACUCCCCCACUCC
RNAcentral lists this non-coding RNA (686 nucleotides) under Oryza sativa Japonica Group (Japanese rice). Its description in RNAcentral is "Bacterial small subunit ribosomal RNA". It matches the Rfam family "Bacterial small subunit ribosomal RNA", at positions 9 to 749 of the family's 1533-position model. Lineage: Eukaryota; Viridiplantae; Streptophyta; Magnoliopsida; Poales; Poaceae. The record is from Rfam by way of RNAcentral.